Molecule: small nuclear RNA, 186 nt
Organism: Echinops telfairi (small Madagascar hedgehog)
Lineage: Eukaryota; Metazoa; Chordata; Mammalia; Afrosoricida; Tenrecidae
Product: U2 spliceosomal RNA
Exons: 1
Source: RefSeq, a predicted model, not a curated record
AUCACUUCUCAGCCUUUGGCUAAGAUCAAGUAUAGUAUCUAUUCUUAUCAGUUUAAUAUCUGAUAUGUCCUCUCUUUGAGGACAAUAUAUUCAAUGGAUUUUUGAAGCAGGAAGAUGGAAUAGGAGCUUGCUCCGUCCACUCCACUCAUUGACCUAGUAUUGACUUUGAGGAAUGGUGCACCCCCC